AUUGAACGCUGGCGGCAUGCUUUACACAUGCAAGUCGAACGGUAACAGGCCGCAAGGUGCUGUCGAGUGGCGAACGGGUGCGUAAUGCAUCGGAACGUGCCCAGUCGUGGUGGGUAACUACUCGCAAGAGUAGCUAAUACCGCAUACGAUCUAUGGAUGAAAGCGGGGGGCCGUAAGGCCUCGCGCGAUUUGAGCGGCCGAUGUCAGAUUAGGUAGUUGGUGGGGUAAAGGCUCACCAAGCCAACGAUCUGUAGCUGGUCUGAGAGGACGACCAGCCACACUGGGACUGAGACACGGCCCAGACUCCUACGGGAGGCAGCAGUGGGGAAUUUUGGACAAUGGGCGCAAGCCUGAUCCAGCAAUGCCGCGUGCAGGAAGAAGGCCUUCGGGUUGUAAAAUGCUUUUGUAAGGAACGAAAAGGCUCUGGUUAAUACCCGGGGCUAAUGACGGUACCGAAAGAAUAAGCACCGGCUAACUACGUG
RNAcentral lists this ribosomal RNA (482 nucleotides) under uncultured bacterium. RNAcentral describes it as "partial 16S ribosomal RNA". It matches the Rfam family "Bacterial small subunit ribosomal RNA", at positions 30 to 507 of the family's 1533-position model. The record is from RNAcentral.